UGUUUAGUUUGGACAAAUCAGAUUAGGAGCACUUUGCUCAAUCUAUCUUCAUGGAACGUUGGCUGUUGAUGAGCUCUUGGAAGGGCUAAAAGCUGGUCUUGGUUUUGUUUUGAUAAAGAUGUGUUUAUGGGCUGCAAAACUCUGUUGAUUUUAUGGCAAACACAAGUUUUUGAUUGACGCACGUAAGAUGUUCGAUAAAAUGCCGUAGAGAAG
Molecule: non-coding RNA, 213 nt
Organism: Arabidopsis thaliana (thale cress)
Lineage: Eukaryota; Viridiplantae; Streptophyta; Magnoliopsida; Brassicales; Brassicaceae
Source: RefSeq